CUACGUGCCAGCAGCCGCGGUAAUACGUAGGGUCCGAGCGUUGUCCGGAAUUACUGGGCGUAAAGAGCUCGUAGGUGGUUUGUCGCGUUGUUCGUGAAAACUCACAGCUCAACUGUGGGCGUGCGGGCGAUACGGGCAGACUGGAGUACUGCAGGGGAGACUGGAAUUCCUGGUGUAGCGGUGGAAUGCGCAGAUAUCAGGAGGAACACCGGUGGCGAAGGCGGGUCUCUGGGCAGUAACUGACGCUGAGGAGCGAAAGCGUGGGGAGCGAACAGGAUUAGAUACCCUGGUAGUCCACGCCGUAAACGGUGGGUACUAGGUGUGGGUUUCCUUCCUUGGGAUCCGUGCCGUAGCUAACGCAUUAAGUACCCCGCCUGGGGAGUACGGCCGCAA
This 393-nucleotide ribosomal RNA is filed under the name Mycobacterium sp. Its description in RNAcentral is "bacterial SSU rRNA". It matches the Rfam family "Bacterial small subunit ribosomal RNA", at positions 501 to 891 of the family's 1533-position model. Lineage: Bacteria; Bacillati; Actinomycetota; Actinomycetes; Mycobacteriales; Mycobacteriaceae. The record is from RNAcentral.